This 2792-nucleotide ribosomal RNA is filed under the name Klebsiella pneumoniae. Its description in RNAcentral is "bacterial LSU rRNA". It matches the Rfam family "Bacterial large subunit ribosomal RNA". The record is from RNAcentral. Lineage: Bacteria; Pseudomonadati; Pseudomonadota; Gammaproteobacteria; Enterobacterales; Enterobacteriaceae.
UUAAGCGACUAAGCGUACACGGUGGAUGCCCUGGCAGUCAGAGGCGAUGAAGGACGUGCUAAUCUGCGAAAAGCGUCGGUAAGGUGAUAUGAACCGUUACAGCCGGCGAUGUCCGAAUGGGGAAACCCAGUGCAAUUCGUUGCACUAUCGUUAACUGAAUACAUAGGUUAACGAGGCGAACCGGGGGAACUGAAACAUCUAAGUACCCCGAGGAAAAGAAAUCAACCGAGAUUCCCCCAGUAGCGGCGAGCGAACGGGGAGCAGCCCAGAGUCUGAAUCAGCUUGUGUGUUAGUGGAACGGUCUGGAAAGUCCGACGGUACAGGGUGAUAGUCCCGUACACCAAAAUGCACAGGCUGUGAACUCGAAGAGUAGGGCGGGACACGUGGUAUCCUGUCUGAAUAUGGGGGGACCAUCCUCCAAGGCUAAAUACUCCUGACUGACCGAUAGUGAACCAGUACCGUGAGGGAAAGGCGAAAAGAACCCCGGCGAGGGGAGUGAAAAAGAACCUGAAACCGUGUACGUACAAGCAGUGGGAGCACCUUCGGGUGUGACUGCGUACCUUUUGUAUAAUGGGUCAGCGACUUAUAUUCUGUAGCAAGGUUAACCGUAUAGGGGAGCCGCAGGGAAACCGAGUCUUAACUGGGCGUUAAGUUGCAGGGUAUAGACCCGAAACCCGGUGAUCUAGCCAUGGGCAGGUUGAAGGUUGGGUAACACUAACUGGAGGACCGAACCGACUAAUGUUGAAAAAUUAGCGGAUGACUUGUGGCUGGGGGUGAAAGGCCAAUCAAACCGGGAGAUAGCUGGUUCUCCCCGAAAGCUAUUUAGGUAGCGCCUCGUGAACUCAUCUUCGGGGGUAGAGCACUGUUUCGGCUAGGGGGUCAUCCCGACUUACCAACCCGAUGCAAACUACGAAUACCGAAGAAUGUUAUCACGGGAGACACACGGCGGGUGCUAACGUCCGUCGUGAAGAGGGAAACAACCCAGACCGCCAGCUAAGGUCCCAAAGUCAUGGUUAAGUGGGAAACGAUGUGGGAAGGCACAGACAGCCAGGAUGUUGGCUUAGAAGCAGCCAUCAUUUAAAGAAAGCGUAAUAGCUCACUGGUCGAGUCGGCCUGCGCGGAAGAUGUAACGGGGCUAAACCAUGCACCGAAGCUGCGGCAGCGACACUAUGUGUUGUUGGGUAGGGGAGCGUUCUGUAAGCCUGCGAAGGUGUGCUGUGAGGCAUGCUGGAGGUAUCAGAAGUGCGAAUGCUGACAUAAGUAACGAUAAAGCGGGUGAAAAGCCCGCUCGCCGGAAGACCAAGGGUUCCUGUCCAACGUUAAUCGGGGCAGGGUGAGUCGACCCCUAAGGCGAGGCCGAAAGGCGUAGUCGAUGGGAAACAGGUUAAUAUUCCUGUACUUGGUGUUACUGCGAAGGGGGGACGGAGAAGGCUAUGUUAGCCGGGCGACGGUUGUCCCGGUUUAAGCAUGUAGGCUGAUUGUCCAGGCAAAUCCGGAUAAUCAAGGCUGAGGUGUGAUGACGAGGCACUACGGUGCUGAAGUAACAAAUGCCCUGCUUCCAGGAAAAGCCUCUAAGCAUCAGGUAACAUUAAAUCGUACCCCAAACCGACACAGGUGGUCAGGUAGAGAAUACCAAGGCGCUUGAGAGAACUCGGGUGAAGGAACUAGGCAAAAUGGUGCCGUAACUUCGGGAGAAGGCACGCUGGUGUGUAGGUGAAGUCCCUGCGGAUGGAGCUGAGACCAGUCGAAGAUACCAGCUGGCUGCAACUGUUUAUUAAAAACACAGCACUGUGCAAACACGAAAGUGGACGUAUACGGUGUGACGCCUGCCCGGUGCCGGAAGGUUAAUUGAUGGGGUUAUCCGUAAGGAGAAGCUCUUGAUCGAAGCCCCGGUAAACGGCGGCCGUAACUAUAACGGUCCUAAGGUAGCGAAAUUCCUUGUCGGGUAAGUUCCGACCUGCACGAAUGGCGUAAUGAUGGCCAGGCUGUCUCCACCCGAGACUCAGUGAAAUUGAACUCGCUGUGAAGAUGCAGUGUACCCGCGGCAAGACGGAAAGACCCCGUGAACCUUUACUAUAGCUUGACACUGAACAUUGAGCCUUGAUGUGUAGGAUAGGUGGGAGGCUUUGAAGCGUGGACGCCAGUCUGCGUGGAGCCAACCUUGAAAUACCACCCUUUAAUGUUUGAUGUUCUAACGUUGGCCCCUGACCGGGGUUGCGGACAGUGUCUGGUGGGUAGUUUGACUGGGGCGGUCUCCUCCCAAAGCGUAACGGAGGAGCACGAAGGUUAGCUAAUCCUGGUCGGACAUCAGGAGGUUAGUGCAAUGGCAUAAGCUAGCUUGACUGCGAGCGUGACGGCGCGAGCAGGUGCGAAAGCAGGUCAUAGUGAUCCGGUGGUUCUGAAUGGAAGGGCCAUCGCUCAACGGAUAAAAGGUACUCCGGGGAUAACAGGCUGAUACCGCCCAAGAGUUCAUAUCGACGGCGGUGUUUGGCACCUCGAUGUCGGCUCAUCACAUCCUGGGGCUGAAGUAGGUCCCAAGGGUAUGGCUGUUCGCCAUUUAAAGUGGUACGCGAGCUGGGUUUAGAACGUCGUGAGACAGUUCGGUCCCUAUCUGCCGUGGGCGCUGGAGAAUUGAGGGGGGCUGCUCCUAGUACGAGAGGACCGGAGUGGACGCAUCACUGGUGUUCGGGUUGUCAUGCCAAUGGCACUGCCCGGUAGCUAAAUGCGGAAGAGAUAAGUGCUGAAAGCAUCUAAGCACGAAACUUGCCCCGAGAUGAGUUCUCCCUGAGACU